This 565-nucleotide ribosomal RNA is filed under the name Protoparmeliopsis muralis. RNAcentral's name for it is "eukaryotic LSU rRNA". The stretch from base 219 to 372 matches the Rfam family "5.8S ribosomal RNA". Lineage: Eukaryota; Fungi; Ascomycota; Lecanoromycetes; Lecanorales; Lecanoraceae. The record is from RNAcentral.
GAACCGCGUGAAGGAUCAUUAACGAGAGGGGUUUUCGGACCCCGGGGCUUCGGCCCCUAACUCUUCACCCUCUGUUCACGUACCAUUGUUGCUUUGGCGGGCCCUGGGGCGUGCCCCUGGCCGGCCGGUGGCCUAGCGGCCCCGGCUCGCUCGUGCCCGUCAGAGGCCCAUGAAACCCCACCUUAUCUUUGUCGUCCGAGCAAAAACACAAUCGUAAAAACUUUCAACAACGGAUCUCUUGGUUCUGGCAUCGAUGAAGAACGCAGCGAAAUGCGAUAAGUAAUGUGAAUUGCAGAAUUCAGUGAAUCAUCGAAUCUUUGAACGCACAUUGCGCCCCUCGGUAUUCCGGGGGGCAUGCCUGUUCGAGCGUCAUUACACCCCUCAAGCUUCGCUUGGUAUUGGGUCUUCGCUCUUCGGGGCGGGCCCGAAAGUUAGUGGCGGCCCGGCGUGACUUCGAGCGUAGUAAUCUUUCUCCCGCUUUGGAAGCUCGCGCUGUGACCGGCCAGAACGCCCAAAUUUUUCAAUGAUUGACCUCGGAUCAGGUAGGGAUACCCGCUGAACUUAA